Molecule: RNA transcript, 1190 nt
Organism: Chlorocebus sabaeus (green monkey)
Lineage: Eukaryota; Metazoa; Chordata; Mammalia; Primates; Cercopithecidae
Gene name: U3 small nucleolar ribonucleoprotein protein MPP10
Source: RefSeq, a predicted model, not a curated record
GUUUGCAGCUUGUGUCCAGAGUAGCAGACAGCCAUGGCCCCGCGGGCCUGGCGCUGACAGACCCUGGAGCGGUGUCUCACAGAGGUCGGCAAAGCCACCGGCUGGCACCAGUGCAUCCUCACGAUUCAAGAUGGACUGGCAUCAAAGUUCACUUCUUUAACAAAAGUACUUUAUGACUUUAAUAAAAUUAAUUAGAGAAUAGUGGGAUCCGUGGAAGCCCUUUAUAAAAACUUGUGAUAGAAAGUUUUGAUGAUGAGCAGACUUUACAACAACUGGAAAUGCGAAAUGAACCAAUUUUACAACACUUCCAAAAUGCAGUUAGUGAAACGCAGAUGAAGAUAUCAGUCUUCUCCCAGAGAGUGAAGAACAGAAGCAUGAAGAGGCUGGUUCAGAGACAGAGGCUGGUGGCCAGGAGGACCUAGAAGAUUUAGAGGAGAAAGAGGAAGUGUCAGAUAUGGGUGGUUACAAUCCUGAGGUGGGUAAGAAAGCUAAAAACUCAACAAAUUUGAACUGAGGAAAAGCCCAGCUUUCAGUGAUGUGGAUUCUGACCUUGACUUUGAUAUCAACAGAUUGGAACAGCAGAGCAAGGUGCAAAACAAAGGACUUGGAAAACCAAGAGAAAAGUCCACAGUAGACGAGAAAUUCUCCCAACUCUCUGAAAUGGAGGCCUAUUUAGAAAACAGAAAAAGAAGAGGAACGAAAAGAUGAUAAUGAUGAUGAGGUGGAAGAUACUGAUUUUUUUUUUUUGAAGAUAUUGAUUCUGGUGAAGAUGAAGGGGGACUGUUUGGAAGUAAAAAUACUUAAGGUAAAUCAGAUGAAAGUUCCAGAAAUGUGAGGUACAAAGAUUUUUUUGAUCCAGUUGAAAGUGAUGAAGACACAGCAAGUGAUCAUGAUGAUGAGCUGGGUUCAAACAAGAUGAUGAAAUUGCUGAAGAAGCAGCAGAAGAACUAAGCAUUUCUGAAAUGAAUGAAGAUGAUGACCUGGAAGAAAGGGAAGACAGUAAACAAUGUAAAUAAAGCUUGAAGAGAGUGACCUUUACUUUGCCAUAUCAUGACACAACUGAAGAUGCAGGUGUUUUAAAUGUAAAGAAAAAUUCUGAUGAAGUUAAAUCCUGUUUUGAAAAAAGACAGGAAAAAGUAAUUAGGAAUUUAAGGACAUUUUACACCAGGUGCGGUGGCUCAUACCUGUAA